This is a long non-coding RNA of Thalassophryne amazonica, 249 nucleotides long. RefSeq lists it as uncharacterized. The record is from RefSeq and is a predicted model, not a curated record. Lineage: Eukaryota; Metazoa; Chordata; Actinopteri; Batrachoidiformes; Batrachoididae. The transcript is spliced from 3 exons.
AAAUGUUAUACCGGCAGAGUAUAUUUUACUGCUAUAUUUUAAACUUACUGUGUGUGCUUGCAGAGUGCCCUGGAUUGGAUCAGGACUCAGUAUGUAUUGAAUAAUAAAGGACGUGGCAAUGGAGCUAGAAAAAUAUUGGGAAAGAAAGAAAGAAAGAAAGAUCCUUCAUGACAUCAGUUAUAAUCGUAUUUGGUCACUUUACCUUAAAAAACAAUGCGUUUGUUCAUGUUGGCUGCUGUUGAUUUGACA